GUCUUCGUGGUGUAACGGUAGCACACUCGGCUUGUAUUCGAGAGGUCCAAGUUCGAAUCCUGGUGAGGACA
This is a non-coding RNA of Stegodyphus dumicola, 71 nucleotides long. NCBI's taxonomy places the organism in Eukaryota, Metazoa, Arthropoda, Arachnida, Araneae, Eresidae. The record is from the annotation of a RefSeq genome assembly.